GGAGUUUUCGGCAAUGGGGGAAACCCUGACCGAGCAACGCCGCGUGAGUGAUGACGGCCCUAUGGGUUGUAAAGCUCUGUUGUAAGGGACGAAUGAUUCGCUUAGGAAAUGAAGCGAGUUUGACGGUACCUUACCAGAAAGCCACGGCUAACUACGUGCCAGCAGCCGCGGUAAUACGUAGGUGGCAAGCGUUAUCCGGAUUCAUUGGGCGUAAAGCGAGCGCAGGCGGUUUUUUAAGUCUGAUGUGAAAGCCUUCGGCUUAACCGAAGAAGUGCAUCGGAAACUGGGAAACUUGAGUGCAGAAGAGGACAGUGGAACUCCAUGUGUAGCGGUGAAAUGCGUAGAUAUAUGGAAGAACACCAGUGGCGAAGGCGGCUGUCUGGUCUGUAACUGACGCUGAGGCUCGAAAGCAUGGGUAGCGAACA
This 425-nucleotide ribosomal RNA is filed under the name uncultured bacterium. RNAcentral describes it as "bacterial SSU rRNA". It matches the Rfam family "Bacterial small subunit ribosomal RNA", at positions 358 to 774 of the family's 1533-position model. The record is from RNAcentral.